RNAcentral lists this small nucleolar RNA (136 nucleotides) under Moschus moschiferus (Siberian musk deer). RNAcentral describes it as "U8 small nucleolar RNA (ENSMMSG00000012904.1)". It matches the Rfam family "U8 small nucleolar RNA". From Rfam's summary of the family: U8 is a member of the C/D class of snoRNA which contain the C (UGAUGA) and D (CUGA) box motifs. U8 is the RNA component of a small complex (the U8 snoRNP) which is required for accumulation of mature large subunit ribosomal RNAs, 5.8S and 28S rRNAs. Lineage: Eukaryota; Metazoa; Chordata; Mammalia; Artiodactyla; Moschidae. The record is from Rfam by way of RNAcentral.
UUGCCAGGUAGGAUAAUCCUUACCUGUUCCUCCUUUUGGAGGGCACAAUAGAACAUAAUGAUUGGAGCUCGCGUGAUUUAUGAUUAAGGGCUCUCCAUAAUCAGGACUUGCAACACCCUGAUUGCUCCUAUCUGAU